GAAAUGCGAUAAGUAAUGUGAAUUGCAGAAUUCAGUGAAUCAUCGAAUCUUUGAACGCAUCUUGCGCUCCUUGGUAUUCCUUGGAGCAUGCCUGUUUGAGUAUCAUGAAAUCUUCAAAGUAAAUCUUUUGUUAACUCAAUUGGUUUCUACUUUGGUAUUGGAGGUCUUUGCAGCUUCACACCUGCUCCUCUUUGUUCAUUAGCUGGAUCUCAGUGUUAUGCUUGGUUCCACUCGGCGUGAUAAGUUAUCUAUCGCUGAGGACACUGUAAAAGGUGGCCAAGGUAAAUGCAGAUGAACCGCUUCUAAUAGUCCAUUGACUUGGAAAAUACUUUUAUGAUCUGAUCUCAAAUCAGGUAGGACUACCCGCUGAACUUAAGC
RNAcentral lists this unclassified non-coding RNA (378 nucleotides) under plant metagenome. Its description in RNAcentral is "partial contains 5.8S ribosomal RNA, internal transcribed spacer 2, and large subunit ribosomal RNA". The stretch from base 1 to 105 matches the Rfam family "5.8S ribosomal RNA", at positions 50 to 154 of the family's 154-position model. The record is from RNAcentral.